AGCAAAAUGAUGAAAUUUUAUUAUCUGAAUCUUAUGUUGAUUCCUAAUAUUAAUGGUCUUCAAAGUUCUCUGAUUGCU
Non-coding RNA from Cicer arietinum (chickpea), 78 nucleotides. NCBI's taxonomy places the organism in Eukaryota, Viridiplantae, Streptophyta, Magnoliopsida, Fabales, Fabaceae. The record is from Rfam.